Molecule: non-coding RNA, 111 nt
Filed under: Streptomyces sp.
Lineage: Bacteria; Bacillati; Actinomycetota; Actinomycetes; Kitasatosporales; Streptomycetaceae
Also listed under: 1 other name
Description: SAM-IV sequence
Rfam family: SAM (S-adenosyl methionine) riboswitch aptamer
About the family: SAM-IV is a mRNA element that regulates gene expression via direct sensing of S-adenosylmethionine (SAM or AdoMet).
Source: RNAcentral
GGUCAUGAGCGUCAGCGCCAAGCCCUGGCUCGCUGACCGGCAACCCUCGCGACGCGGUGGGGUGCCCCAGGUGACGACCGGACCGGACGACGACUUCGGUAAGCGCGGAGG